CUACGGGGGGCUGCAGUGGGGAAUUUUGGACAAUGGGGGCAACCCUGAUCCAGCCAUGCCGCGUGAGUGAAGAAGGCCUUCGGGUUGUAAAGCUCUUUCAGCCGGGAAGAAAUCGCAUGGGCCAAUACCCUGUGCGGAUGACGGUACCGGAAUAAGAAGCACCGGCUAACUACGUGCCAGCAGCCGCGGUAAUACGUAGGGUGCGAGCGUUAAUCGGAAUUACUGGGCGUAAAGCGUGCGCAGGCGGAUGCUUAAGUCAGAUGUGAAAUCCCCGGGCUUAACCUGGGAAUUGCAUUUGAAACUGGGUGUCUUGAGUGCGUCAGAGGGGGGUGGAAUUCCACGUGUAGCAGUGAAAUGCGUAGAUAUGUGGAGGAACACCAAUGGCGAAGGCAGCCCCCUGGGAUGACACUGACGCUCAUGCACGAAAGCGUGGGGAGCAAACAGGAUUAGAUACCCCCGUAGUC
This 464-nucleotide ribosomal RNA is filed under the name uncultured bacterium. Its description in RNAcentral is "partial 16S ribosomal RNA". It matches the Rfam family "Bacterial small subunit ribosomal RNA", at positions 339 to 795 of the family's 1533-position model. The record is from RNAcentral.